Molecule: long non-coding RNA, 801 nt
Filed under: Rhagoletis pomonella (apple maggot)
Lineage: Eukaryota; Metazoa; Arthropoda; Insecta; Diptera; Tephritidae
Description: uncharacterized LOC118751752, transcript variant X3
Source: RNAcentral
GCAGAACAUUCACAUUUCCCGCAGUGCAUUCAAUCAGUAAACCGGGGAGCGUGCAACUCAAACGUCAAAACAAAUGUUGGGAAAAUUCACAUCGAAUCAUGUGCAGGUGUAUCAUCAGUAUUCGCGUACAGUCUCACUGAAAAAGCCAAAAAAGAGCUUGCAAACAGACAUGCCAUAAAAAACAACUGAUACGCCUGCUGUCAACUGCAACAUAAAUAUUGAGAGCGUAAAAAACACAGCAAGCAAGAAAUACAUUGGAACAAUUUUCAAAUCCAAGAAAGCACAGCACAACGUAAAGAAGAAGCAUUCAAUUUUUGGAAAUCAAAUGAAAGCUGUUCAUAUGGCACCGAUCAUUUCUGUGUAUCAGCAAAAAAAAUUCUCGAAUCUCUUUUAACUUAACUACUCCUAUGCAAACAAGCUACUUUUAAAGAUAACUACAACUACAACAAAGCACAUAUCGAACUGGUAUCUUGCAAAAAAAAAAAAAAAAGUUUGGAAAAAUAACAGCGAAAUCCUUGCCACUAUCGUCAUUGGACCAGUCAACAGCUGCAAUAAAAGCCAACCACAACAACAACAGCCGCCUAAGUCAUUACAAAACUUGUUUCGUUUCGCAUUUUUGCAAUACUCGUAGCGUUUUAGUCAACACGAAAAGUCGCUGCGAAAAUUCCGCAAUAUUCAGUGCUUUGGCGUUGGAAUAUGUUGAAGCAGAAGCGACAAGUAAAACAGCAGCCAAAAGCAAAGCCGAUACCAUGGGGACUGAAAAAAAUCUGUUGGGGGCUGAUAAACAUAACCGUGCCCAGG